Molecule: microRNA, 19 nt
Filed under: Tribolium castaneum (red flour beetle)
Lineage: Eukaryota; Metazoa; Arthropoda; Insecta; Coleoptera; Tenebrionidae
Description: tca-miR-3900-3p
Source: miRBase by way of RNAcentral
AGGAGGUGUGAUCGCUUUG